AACCUUUCCUUGUCCUCAAGGAAACAACUUUUACCUCAAGCUUUUGUGUCAAGACCCUGGCAUUUCCUUAAAUUCACUCGAAUCAUACAUACGUGAGGAUCACCUGAUGAUCAAUGAUCCACCUGCAAACAAUGCUCAAUUGCACAAUCGCUCCCGCAAGACAUUUUCAAGUAAUUCACACUUUUCAACCAAGGCUCUAAGAUCCCAUCACACUACUCACAUACACUCUUCAGUUUUGGUAAUUCACUCAAAUCAACACAUCAAUGCAGGUCAACAAUAAUUUUGCAAGUAGUCUAAGAAUUCAUUCGGUUCACUUUGUGCACACACUUUAGAAGUCUUUUAGGGUUAUAACGUGGCUUGGCUAGGGUGGAUGGUGACAUUUUGGGAUAAGUAGUAGAAAAACUUGGAGUUAGAUCUCCCUAAGGUCAAAAAUUCAUAAACAAAACCCCUUCUUCUUUUGAACUAAAGUGGACUAGAGAACUUUUCAAUUCAUCAAGUAAAGUUUGUAAUACUAUUGAAAUCAAGGCUAUCACUUCUUUUUGUACUUCUUUUCCAAUAUUUCUUUUCUUUUCUCUUUUUUUUUUUAUUUUCAUCAUUUUUUUU
Molecule: long non-coding RNA, 603 nt
Filed under: Trifolium pratense (red clover)
Lineage: Eukaryota; Viridiplantae; Streptophyta; Magnoliopsida; Fabales; Fabaceae
Description: long non-coding RNA (TPRA_LNC010179)
Source: RNAcentral